CCUACGGGUGGCAGCAGGGAGGAAUAUGGGUCAAUGGGCGCGAGCCUGAACCAGCCAAGUAGCGUGAAGGAUGACUGCCCUACGGGUUGUAAACUUCUUUUAUAAAGGAAUAAAGUGAGGCACGUGUGCCUUUUUGUAUGUACCUUAUGAAUAAGGAUCGGCUAACUCCGUGCCAGCAGCCGCGGUAAUACGGAGGAUCCGAGCGUUAUCCGGAUUUAUUGGGUUUAAAGGGUGCGUAGAUGGGUUGUUAAGUCAGUUGUGAAAGUUUGCGGCUCAACCGUAAAAUUGCAAUUGAUACUGGCAGCCUUGAGUGCAGUUGAGGUAGGCGGAAUGCGUGGUGUAGCGGUGAAAUGCUUAGAUAUCACGAAGAACUCCGAUUGCGAAGGCAGCCUACUAGACUGCAACUGACGUUGAUGCUCGAAAGUGUGGGUAUCAAACAGGAUUAGAUACCCUAGUAGUC
RNAcentral lists this ribosomal RNA (460 nucleotides) under uncultured bacterium. RNAcentral's name for it is "partial 16S ribosomal RNA". It matches the Rfam family "Bacterial small subunit ribosomal RNA", at positions 338 to 795 of the family's 1533-position model. The record is from RNAcentral.